UACGUGAGGGGCGAACGUUGUUCGGUGUCACUGGGCUUAAAGGGUGCGUAGGUGGUUGCGUAAGUAAGGUGUGAAAGCCCUCGGCUUACCCGGGGAAUUGCGCCUUAUACUGCGUGGCUUGAGGAUUUCAGGGGAAUGGGGAACUCCAGGUGUAGCGGUGAAAUGCGCAGAUAUCUGGGGGAAGGCCGGCGGCGAAGGCGCCAUUCUGGGAAAUUCCUGACACUGAGGCACGAAAGCGUGGGGAGCAAACAGG
RNAcentral lists this ribosomal RNA (253 nucleotides) under uncultured bacterium. RNAcentral's name for it is "partial 16S ribosomal RNA". It matches the Rfam family "Bacterial small subunit ribosomal RNA", at positions 524 to 776 of the family's 1533-position model. The record is from RNAcentral.